AACUUCAAUUUUAAUCUGGAUAACGCCAAAGCUUUUCCUCAAAUUCACCCCUGGAGUCAGCUCAUAGAUGCUCUGAUUUUGUCUACCAUUGCUCCUCCUUAAUAUCUCUCGCACAGGUGCCAUUGACCUUUAGAUGGGCUGUACGGUGUGGGGUUCGGUGCCAUGGAUCUGCUUCUCCAGGGACCAGGAUCUUGAGAUCUUCAGGCUGGGUUUCCAUGGAGGCAUGGAGCUGCUUUUCCUCCUUCAUAACUGCACUCAAAACAGCCCUGUUGCUCUAGAAUGGAGACUUGGGCAACUCCUUCUGGCACAGAUUUGUUCACCUCAGGUGAAAUUCAGAUAGAAGCAAGCUGCAGGCAGUUUCACCUCUAAGUCCAUGGGUUCUCAACUGGUAACGUCCUCUUAUGGAUGUUAGCCCAUGAGGUCAAUCCUGUAGCAAUCUAAGGCUUGAGAAAAAUUAAUCUUCUGGAAAAUUCCAAGAAUACAUCUUAGGGAAACUGGCUCUACCUUUAUGACUUGGAUCACACAAGGAUAUGCUUUUCAUCUUGGACUAGAACUGAGAGCCAAUGGAUGUGUUAUCUAAAACUAUCCCAGUGUGUUCACUAUACAGAGGAAGAUUCUGAGAUUCAAGACUCAAGACUGAAGAAGAUCAUUAUUUUUAUUAUUUUAGUCUUAUGCACAAAAUGAUAUCUACUGAAUAAGCAGGUUUUUAAUAGGUGACUUAUAUAUGUUAGCAAAAAUAAACACUUUGUCUUUUAGAUCUAUUCUAGUUUUUCAGUAGCUGUAGACUUAAGUGCUAACUUUUAGCCCAUAGGAUAAGAAGAAACCAAGUCCUAAAAGUAGGCCAGCACCAGGGUUCAGGCCUCUGACUUCAAGCCAAGGGCUCAUCAUCUUGAAUUGCGCACGAAUUUUUACACAGCGCCAAAGGAAACUGCCUGUACUUACUGUUGUAGGUGCUUUGCUGGAUUCAGGAUGCAGACAAGGUCCACGCAUUGUGGUUGGUUCCCUUAGGUGGAGCUAUACCUACUCAAGCUGUAACCAAACUCACCCUGAAUGGAAA
Molecule: long non-coding RNA, 1057 nt
Filed under: Homo sapiens (human)
Lineage: Eukaryota; Metazoa; Chordata; Mammalia; Primates; Hominidae
Description: HSALNT0357577
Source: RNAcentral